Acanthochromis polyacanthus (spiny chromis) is the source of this 1266-nucleotide long non-coding RNA. RefSeq lists it as uncharacterized. Lineage: Eukaryota; Metazoa; Chordata; Actinopteri; Pomacentridae. The transcript has 3 exons. The record is from RefSeq and is a predicted model, not a curated record.
CGAGGAGAGAGACGAGUGGAGUGAUUUUGUGUUGGAUUACCUAAGUUUAUUUAUUUAUUUAUUUAUUUAUUUUCAAGUUAUGGCUGAGUUUUUGACCGAUGAGCAGGACGUGGAAGAAACUGAAUUUCAUUUUGAUGGCUGACCGUAUUUAUUUGAGUCCGAAUACACGGACGAAGAACUUCAAGAUAUUGAAGAACGGGCAAGGACAGAAACAGUUGGUCAACAAGCAGAGAGCACGGAACCAGCUGAAGCAAGGCUGCGAACCUCGGGAAACUGGUGGUGUCUCUGUGGGUGCUGCGUACCUAUGCCUACAGAAGAGGAAUGCCUUUGCUGCAGGGAAUGAGACUUGCUGCAGCAAGCUGUGAGUGGGGGUUACCCACUGGAUGGUACACGCUGUCUGACUUCGUCAGAGAAUUUCCCCCCCUUGAUCAACAGGGCCGUGCUGGAGACCUUCUUCCAUGUUCCCAAAAUCAACUGGAAGAGGCGGCCAAGACCACAGGGAGAAAAUGGCCAUUUAUCUAUUGACCAAUGCAGACUCGUGGCUUACUGUGUAGUGCUGGAGUGGGCACUCAGAGGAGAGCGUCUUGGUCGUGGGAAUAGGAGAGUGCUGCAUUGUUGUGGCUAUAAGAAACAAGUACCCCUCUCCAACUGGCACUUACGCUGGUUUCAACGACAGAGAAAUAGCUGACGAGAAGCAGCUGAAACCGGUCAUGCAAUCAGUCACCUCCGGCAGAGUCUGAGCAGCUGACAAGCAUUCUCCUGAUUACACACCGACCAUAAAACUCCGGCUCUUCCAGCAACACUCUGCCAGAUCGAUAGACUCGACAUACACAACCCGCUGCUCAGACUCCUGCCAUCUCCUUCUCCCCGGUUUCCCUCCUGGACCCAGUCAUUCCCCGAAAUCAUCUCUCAGCGUCUGAGUUCUCCAGUCCGCCCUGUCUACAGCCCAACCCUCAUUCCCUGCCUUACUCCUGCCACCAGGGAUCCUCAGACCGCCCGGCGCCGCACUCUGUCUCCCCUCCCCGAACCAGCCGCCACCGAUCCCCGGUAGGAACGUCGCCCACCCGGCACCACUCCUCAUCCUCCCCUGACAAGACUCCGGCUCCCCGUCCACCAGAUCUUCUCUCCCUGCAAUAAAUCAUUCAUAGAAACUGCAUCUUGGCCUUGGUGGUAGUUCUCUGCUCAAGUCCGGUCCUGAUUGUGUGACAGUUAUACUUCACUGUAAAAAUCAAUCAUCUAAAAUAAAUUAUUUUUAGAACUACUGUU